This 253-nucleotide ribosomal RNA is filed under the name uncultured bacterium. Its description in RNAcentral is "partial 16S ribosomal RNA". It matches the Rfam family "Bacterial small subunit ribosomal RNA", at positions 524 to 776 of the family's 1533-position model. The record is from RNAcentral.
UACGUAGGUGGCAAGCGUUGUCCGGAUUUACUGGGCGUAAAGAGCGCGCAGGCGGUCGUUCAAGUCGCGUGUGAAAGCCCCCGGCUCAACUGGGGAGGGUCACGCGAUACUGAUCGACUCGAAGGCAGGAGAGGGUAGUGGAAUUCCCGGUGUAGUGGUGAAAUGCGUAGAUAUCGGGAAGAACACCCGUGGCGAAGGCGGCUCUCUGGGACGGUACUGACGCUGAGACGCGAAAGCGUGGGGAGCGAACAGG